GAAGUAAAAGUCGUAACAAGGUCUCCGUUGGUGAACCAGCGGAGGGAUCAUUACUGAGUUUACGCUCUACAACCCUUUGUGAACAUACCUACAACUGUUGCUUCGGCGGGUAGGGUCCCCGUGACCCUCCCGGCCUCCCGCCCCCCCGGGCGGGUCGGCGCCCGCCGGAGGAUAACCAAACUCUGAUUUAACGACGUUUCUUCUGAGUGGUACAAGCAAAUAAUCAAAACUUUUAACAACGGAUCUCUUGGUUCUGGCAUCGAUGAAGAACGCAGCGAAAUGCGAUAAGUAAUGUGAAUUGCAGAAUUCAGUGAAUCAUCGAAUCUUUGAACGCACAUUGCGCCCGCCAGCAUUCUGGCGGGCAUGCCUGUUCGAGCGUCAUUUCAACCCUCAAGCUCUGCUUGGUGUUGGGGCCCUACAGCUGAUGUAGGCCCUCAAAGGUAGUGGCGGACCCUCCCGGAGCCUCCUUUGCGUAGUAACUUUACGUCUCGCACUGGGAUCCGGAGGGACUCUUGCCGUAAAACCCCCCAAUUUUCCAAAGGUUGACCUCGGAUCAGGUAGGAAUACCCGCUGAACUUAA
RNAcentral lists this ribosomal RNA (580 nucleotides) under Colletotrichum gloeosporioides. RNAcentral's name for it is "eukaryotic LSU rRNA". The stretch from base 228 to 381 matches the Rfam family "5.8S ribosomal RNA". Lineage: Eukaryota; Fungi; Ascomycota; Sordariomycetes; Glomerellales; Glomerellaceae. The record is from RNAcentral.